Molecule: transfer RNA, 66 nt
Filed under: Sasia ochracea
Lineage: Eukaryota; Metazoa; Chordata; Aves; Piciformes; Picidae
Description: tRNA-Ser
Source: RNAcentral
GAGGGGAGGUUUCACCAACAGGAACUGCUAACUCCUAUCUCUGGGCCUAAACCCCCAGUCCCCUUA